Molecule: ribosomal RNA, 496 nt
Filed under: uncultured bacterium
Lineage: Bacteria
Description: partial 16S ribosomal RNA
Rfam family: Bacterial small subunit ribosomal RNA
Source: RNAcentral
GAUGAACGCUGGCGGCGUGCCUAAUACAUGCAAGUCGAGCGAACGGACGAGAAGCUUGCUUCUCUGAUGUUAGCGGCGGACGGGUGAGUAACACGUGGAUAACCUACCUAUAAGACUGGGAUAACUUCGGGAAACCGGAGCUAAUACCGGAUAAUAUUUUGAACCGCAUGGUUCAAAAGUGAAAGACGGUCUUGCUGUCACUUAUAGAUGGAUCCGCGCUGCAUUAGCUAGUUGGUAAGGUACGGCUUACCAAGGCAACGAUGCAUAGCCGACCUGAGAGGGUGAUCGGCCACACUGGAACUGAGACACGGUCCAGACUCCUACGGGAGGCAGCAGUAGGGAAUCUUCCGCAAUGGGCGAAAGCCUGACGGGGCAACGCCGCGUGAGUGAUGAAGGUCUUCGGAUCGUAAAACUCUGUUAUUAGGGAAGAACAUAUGUGUAAGUAACUGUGCACAUCUUGACGGUACCUAAUCAGAAAGCCACGGCUAACUACGUG